RNAcentral lists this ribosomal RNA (253 nucleotides) under uncultured bacterium. RNAcentral's name for it is "partial 16S ribosomal RNA". It matches the Rfam family "Bacterial small subunit ribosomal RNA", at positions 524 to 776 of the family's 1533-position model. The record is from RNAcentral.
UACGAAGGGGGCUAGCGUUGCUCGGAAUCACUGGGCUUAAAGGGCGCGUAGGCGGGCUCGAUAGUCAGGGGUGAAAUCCUCCAGCUCAACUGGAGAAGUGCCUUUGAUACUGCGAGUCUCGAGGGAGGUAGGGGCGUGCGGAACUUCCGGUGGAGCGGUGAAAUGCGUAGAUAUCGGAAGGAACACCGGUGGCGAAAGCGGCGCGCUGGACCUCUUCUGACGCUGAGGCGCGAAAGCCAGGGGAGCAAACGGG